GAUGAACGCUGGCGGCGUGCCUAAUACAUGCCAGUCGAGCGAACGGACGAGAAGCUUGCUUCUCUGAUGUUAGCGGCGGACGGGUGAGUAACACGUGGAUAACCUACCUAUAAGACUGGGAUAACUUCGGGAAACCGGAGCUAAUACCGGAUAAUAUUUUGAACCGCAUGGUUCAAAAGUGAAAGACGGUCUUGCUGUCACUUAUAGAUGGAUCCGCGCUGCAUUAGCUAGUUGGUAAGGUAACGGCUUACCAAGGCAACGAUGCAUAGCCGACCUGAGAGGGGGAUCGGCCAAACUGGAACUGAGACACGGUCCAGACUCCUACGGGAGGCAGCAGUAGGGAAUCUUCCGCAAUGGGCGAAAGCCUGACGGAGCAACGCCGCGUGAGUGAUGAAGGUCUUCGGAUCGUAAAACUCUGUUAUUAGGGAAGAACAUAUGUGUAAGUAACUGUGCACAUCUUGACGGUACCUAAUCAGAAAGCCACGGCUAACUACGUG
Molecule: ribosomal RNA, 497 nt
Filed under: uncultured bacterium
Lineage: Bacteria
Description: partial 16S ribosomal RNA
Rfam family: Bacterial small subunit ribosomal RNA
Source: RNAcentral